GUUCUUAUCGUCUAAUGGUUAGGACGUCACUCUUUCACAGUGGUAAUACGGGUUCAAAUCCCGUUAAGAAUA
This 72-nucleotide transfer RNA is filed under the name Nitzschia dissipata. RNAcentral describes it as "tRNA-Glu". It matches the Rfam family "tRNA". Rfam says of the family: Transfer RNA (tRNA) molecules are approximately 80 nucleotides in length. Lineage: Eukaryota; Bacillariophyta; Bacillariophyceae; Bacillariales; Bacillariaceae. The record is from RNAcentral.